AGACAGACAGACAGACUCUCCUCCUCCUCAUCUCUCUCCCCUAAAACCCGCAAAAACCCAACUCGCAAAUUUUCAAAAUCUUUCAUUCUCUAACCAAAUUCAAGCUCCGCAAAAUUUACAAACCUCAAAGUCAAAAUACCCACAAACCAAACCAUCCUUUUCAACUCCAUGCCCAAAUGCCCACCUUUCAUCAUCAACUCCAUCUUCAAGGCCCUCAACAACUACUUGUAUCCAAUCCCAAGUAAGUUCCUUUCUCUUUCUAUGAACUCUAACUUUUCAGCCCUUGCAAUUCCAUCAACCAAAACUAUUGAAACUGAACCCCAAAACCACCCUCAACACCGUAACGCCUCUGACCGAGAAAAUGGCAUUGAACAUGACCCCCCGAUAUCUGAUAAGAUAUUCAAGUCUGGCCCCAAAAUGGGUUCGUACAAGUUGGGUGAUUCGACUUUUUAUUCAGUCAUUAACAACUACGCAAAUUUGGGUGAUUUUAAGUCAUUGGAGAAGGUUUUGGAUCGAAUGAGGUGCGAAAAGAGAGUGGUUGUAGAGAAAUGUUUUGUUGUUAUCUUUAAGGCUUUUGGGAAAGCUCAUUUACCUGAAAAAGCUGUCGACUUGUUUGAUAGAAUGGCUUAUGAAUUUGAGUGUAAAAGAACUGUAAAGUCGUUUAAUUCGGUUCUUAAUGUGAUUAUACAAGAGGGUUUGUUUUAUCGUGCUUUAGAGUUUUAUAAUCAUGUUAUUGGUGCCAAAGGUGUGAAUAUAUCCCCUAAUGUGCUUACUUUUAAUUUGGUUAUUAAGGCUAUGUGUAAGGUGGGAUUGGUUGAUGAUGCGGUCCAAAUGUUUAGAGACAUGCCGGUUAGUAAAUGUCAGCCUGAUGUGUACACUUAUUGUACUUUGAUGGAUGGACUUUGCAAGGCGGAUAGGAUUGAUGAGGCAGUUUCGCUGUUGGAUGAGAUGCAAAUUGAUGGUUGUUUUCCAAGCCCUGUUACCUUCAAUGUGUUAAUCAAUGGCUUGUGUAAGAAGGGGGAUUUAGCACGGGUUGCGAAGCUUGUAGACAAUAUGUUUCUUAAAGGAUGUGUUCCUAAUGAAGUAACUUAUAACACACUUAUUCAUGGUUUGUGUCUGAAAGGGAAGCUGGAAAAGGCAAUUAGUCUUUUGGAUCGGAUGGUAUCGAGUAAAUGUGUGCCUAAUGUGGUCACACAUGGGACAAUCAUUAAUGGACUUGUUAAGCAGGGAAGAGCUCUUGAUGGGGCUCGUGUAUUAGCUUUGAUGGAGGAAAGGGGGUAUCAUGUAAAUGAGUAUGUUUACUCAGCGCUGAUUAGUGGGUUGUUCAAGGAGGGGAAAUCUCAAGAGGCGAUGCAAUUGUUCAAAGAGAUGACAGUCAAAGAAUGUGAGCUCAACACUAUUGUAUAUAGUGCUGUUAUUGAUGGUUUAUGCCGAGAUGGAAAGCCAGAUGAAGCACUGGAAAUUCUUUCUGAGAUGACUAAUAACAUAUGCAAACCUAAUGCUUACACUUAUAGCUCGCUGAUGAAGGGAUUCUUUGAGGCAGGUAAUGGCCAUAAAGCCAUUGAAGUGUGGAAAGACAUGGCAAAGCAUAAUUUAACUCAGAACGAGGUUUGUUACAGUGUACUCAUUCAUGGGUUAUGCAAGGAUGGGAAAGUCAAGGAAGCUAUGAUGGUGUGGGCACAGAUGCUGGGCAAAGGAUGUAAGCCUGAUGUUGUGGCUUACGGUUCAAUGAUUAAUGGCCUUUCCAAUGCUGGCUUAGUAGAAGAUGCUUUGCAACUUUAUAACGAGAUGCUUUGUCAGGAACCUGAUUCUCAACCAGAUGUGGUCACAUAUAACAUACUUUUGAAUGCUUUGUGCAAGCAGAGUAGCAUCUCCCGUGCUAUUGAUCUUUUAAAUAGCAUGUUGGAUCGGGGAUGUGAUCCUGACUUGGUUACAUGCAUCAUAUUCUUGAGAACAUUGAGAGAGAAGCUGGACCCACCUCAAGAUGGGAGGGAGUUUCUAGAUGGGCUUGUGGUUCGUCUUCUAAAGCGGCAGAGAGUUUUAGGUGCUUCAAAAAUUGUAGAAGUGAUGCUGCAAAAGCUUCUGCCACCUAAACCCUCUACUUGGGAAAGAGUUGUUGAAGAUCUUUGUAAACAUAAGAAGGUUCAGGCAGCCAUUCAGAAGUGUUGGAGCAUCCUAUAUUGCUGAUGUAUUGGGGUUCUUCGUGACAUUGUUGUGAAGCUUAUAUGAUCAUAUGUCACGUAAGCCUCUAGCUUAUAGAGCAUAGACUUAUGUCACAAUUAAUAUGGAUUGUGUGACCAGGGAAGAUGUGGUGAACGACGAAUCUUGAAACAAACUGUUGGAGAAGUCCAGUACAUUGUGUUUGAGCUAGGGAACACCGCUGGAAGUUCCAAAAAACAGUACCUCGAAUAGAGGCCAAAACACAUCUUAUCCUAUUUUUGUUUCCCUCCAAAGAGAAAAAAUCCAUAAAAAUUCCAGAGCAGCACUCCAACCACAUCUGCUAAAGAACUUCAAACAGAACAUAUCUCUGCAAGGGCUUAUGGUCGUUCUACUUUUCAAAACCUGGAAAAGACAUUACCAAUAGAUCCUAUACUUGAUUAGAGAUCACCAACAACUCCAAAUAACUGAGGAAAGAUGUGCUACGUAUCCCAAGCAUCUGGAUAGUGCAAAAAGAAUUGCUCUGCGCCUGUCCAUUAUCAUUGCACAUCACACAUGUAUUAGGAGAAAUCUUGUUAUAUAGCCUCCUUCAUGCAGAUGUUGUUGGUAUUAGUUCCAUGGUCUGCAUCGCCCAAAUGAAGGCCAAGAUUCCGAUAAUUAUUUUUUUUCAGACACAAGUGGCCAAAGAAAAACAAUGGCAGGCCGAGCACAAGUGAUGUAAAAAAAAAAAAAAUUACCA
RNA transcript from Populus euphratica (Euphrates poplar), 2896 nucleotides. It is a transcript of the gene named Pentatricopeptide repeat (PPR) superfamily protein, with no coding region annotated. The transcript has 3 exons. The record is from RefSeq and is a predicted model, not a curated record. NCBI's taxonomy places the organism in Eukaryota, Viridiplantae, Streptophyta, Magnoliopsida, Malpighiales, Salicaceae.